UACUUAGGGUGCGAGCGUUGUCCGGAAUUAUUGGGCGUAAAGAGCUCGUAGGCGGUCUGUCGCGUCGAUCGUGAAAACUUGGGGCUUAACCCUGAGCUUGCGGUCGAUACGGGCAUGACUGGAGUUCGGCAGGGGAGACUGGAAUUCCUGGUGUAGCGGUGAAAUGCGCAGAUAUCAGGAGGAACACCGGUGGCGAAGGCGGGUCUCUGGGCCGAUACUGACGCUGAGGAGCGAAAGCGUGGGGAGCGAACAGG
RNAcentral lists this ribosomal RNA (254 nucleotides) under uncultured bacterium. Its description in RNAcentral is "partial 16S ribosomal RNA". It matches the Rfam family "Bacterial small subunit ribosomal RNA", at positions 524 to 776 of the family's 1533-position model. The record is from RNAcentral.